AUGGGUCAUCCGACACGGGUUCGGGAAAAUUCACACCAAGAAACGAACCCCCAGGCGGCGAUGAGCAUGGAUAUGAUCUUUAUCCCAUCCAUGGUGUCGUGGAAAAUGAGCACGGCGAAGAGGGGCACGAUGGGCAGCGACACGGUGCUGAUGACGUUGGAGAAGAGGGAGGAGACCUCGAAGACGAGCCCCACCACCCCGACGGAGGUGAUCUGCCAGGACACGGCCGUCCACACCAGCGUCAUGAAGUAG
Molecule: ribosomal RNA, 252 nt
Filed under: Triticum aestivum (bread wheat)
Lineage: Eukaryota; Viridiplantae; Streptophyta; Magnoliopsida; Poales; Poaceae
Description: partial small subunit ribosomal RNA
Source: RNAcentral